RNAcentral lists this transfer RNA (41 nucleotides) under Astragalus sp. Ge130187. RNAcentral describes it as "tRNA-Leu". The record is from RNAcentral. Lineage: Eukaryota; Viridiplantae; Streptophyta; Magnoliopsida; Fabales; Fabaceae.
UCUAUUAAAUUAAUUCUUAAUUAAUAUUCCAAUUGAUUCUU